This 87-nucleotide small RNA is filed under the name Pseudomonas inefficax. Lineage: Bacteria; Pseudomonadati; Pseudomonadota; Gammaproteobacteria; Pseudomonadales; Pseudomonadaceae. RNAcentral also lists the same sequence under 1 other name. The record is from RNAcentral.
GUCGCUGCAAAUUCAGCGACCGGGUUUGGCGACCCGAUUGGGUGUAGGCGCAACAGCGCCCCUAUUACGUUUGCAGGCGCUUUUUUU